Molecule: non-coding RNA, 191 nt
Organism: Nerophis lumbriciformis (worm pipefish)
Lineage: Eukaryota; Metazoa; Chordata; Actinopteri; Syngnathiformes; Syngnathidae
Source: RefSeq, a predicted model, not a curated record
CGCUGGGAGCAAACAGUCUUUUAUCCAAAGAUGGAGCUUAAGACAACUUCAAUCUGCAGAGGAACGUCACACUCAUGGAUGGCAGCCAACCUCGAAGAAGCACCACAGCAAUGUCUUACUGCUGUUUCAAGCCCAGAGAGAGAGCGAGUGCUUGGCCGUGCGAGAGCAGAAAGAAGAGAGGAAAGGUUGCC